Molecule: long non-coding RNA, 1637 nt
Organism: Beta vulgaris subsp. vulgaris (sugar beet)
Lineage: Eukaryota; Viridiplantae; Streptophyta; Magnoliopsida; Caryophyllales; Amaranthaceae
Exons: 2
Source: RefSeq, a predicted model, not a curated record
AUCUUUCUUUCUUUUUGAACUAUUCUCUAAAACUUUCAAAUAUAAUCUUUCGUAAUUUGUGAGUAGGAAGUAAUAAAAUUCCAAUGAGCUAGUGUAAUAGUCCUGUUUUUAAGAACGUUUAUUUAAAUGUUAAUUAUAUUCAUUAAGUUAAUUAUGUUUCGGAAAUUCAUAUUUAAUUUGAGUUGGAGUAUGAAUAUUUAUUUUCGUGGUGUUGUAAUAUAUUUACUUAAGUUUAUAAAAUUAUUAUUAUUAAAUUAUUUUGGGUCUUAUGUGCGACUAAAUUGAGCGGUAUUUGGCCAAGCAGGAAACCAAAGUCGAUCUUCCUUCCAUUUAUUUUAGUCGGUCAAUGGGUAAAUAAACCCACCCCAAGUUCCUUCUCUCUCUCGUCCUUUUUCUCAAAAAACCCCAAACCCCAAUUGAUGAAAACCCAAAAACCCUAGACACGUGAAACUCUCUCGCUCACCUUCGCCUGCGCUUCGUUGGCGUUUCUUCCAGGCUCGCCGGAGUUUCCCCCUUAUCGGCGUCGUCUCGCUGUUCUCUUCCUAUCGCCGACGUUCUCUAAGCUCGCUGGAGCUUUCCCGUUCCUCUACUCGCGUCGGUGUUGCGCGUUUUUUCCCUCCUCUUCGUGGUGCUGCUGCACCGCCUUGAGCUCCUUGGUGGUCCUGUCAUUGCCACCGUUUGCUGCUGCGGUGAUGUUGUUGUGAUCGAUGCACCGCUUCCCUAUUUCCCCUGUGUUCGUGUUUUUCUUUCUUUUUUCCCUUAGUGGUGUCGCCACCUGACUAGGUGGUGCCGCCAUUCUGGUUUGGCCACUGCGAGUCGUAGCUCACGGGACCUGUGUUGUUGAUCUGUCACCUCGUCGGAGCUUCGAGCUCCCAUUCCGUGCUUUGUUUUCGUCCCUGCUCAAGUAGAGCAGAGGUAUACACCUCUUGCCUAUUUUUUCUUUAAAUUUCAUAAUUAUGGAAUUAGUGAUCCAAUCCCCAAGUUAUUGUUGUUUAUUGUUGUUGCACAACUGUUAUUAUCUUAUUGUCCUUUUUUUUGUUUCUACUCCAGAAAUCUGUUUGUUCAUGGUGAUGUGUUGUUGGUCAUUGUUGUUGUUGUGAUGGUGGCUGUUGUGGAGUAGUUGUGGUGAUUGUGGUGGAGUUGUUAUGUUGUUGUUGUGUUGAUGUUGGAGUGGUUAUCUUUGAUUUUAAGUUUAAGAGUUACAAAAAUAGAUUUCAUUAGGUUUUAUUCUGAUCGGUGUAGCAGGUUGUUUUGAAAAAGGUUAAUUAGAUUAGUUUCUUCAAUUGAGAUUUUGUGACAAUGGUUUUAGUAAUUAAUUUUAUCAUUGUUAUUGAGGUUAAGAAUUGUUAGGAGUUCAAGAGAAGUGAUGGAGUUAUGAAGCUCUCAAAGUUCUAUUAUGUCAGAGUUAAAGAAUGGAUCGUGUAUGAGGUUUGGUAUCAAAAGCUCGAGAAUUGGAAGUGAAGCAAGAUUAUAAUGUCGUCGAAGAUUAAGGAUUGAGCUUGUAUAUAGAGGAGUUUAUGUAGAAUUACUUACAAUAUAGAUUAUUCUAUUGCCAUGGAAUAUGAGAUUAAAUGACUAUGUAAUUGAAGUCUUAUAUAAAGGAUUUUAUUUUGUGGGCUCAAUAACCCAAAGGUCCA